GGUUUAAUUCGAUGCAACGCGAAUAACCUUACCUGGCCUUGACAUCCACGGAACCCUGCAGAGAUGCGGGGGUGCCUUCGGGAACCGUGAGACAGGUGCUGCAUGGCUGUCGUCAGCUCGUGUCGUGAGAUGUUGGGUUAAGUCCCGCAACGAGCGCAACCCUUGUCCCUAGUUGCCAGCAUUCAGUUGGGCACUCCAGGGAGACCGCCGGUGACAAACCGGAC
This 224-nucleotide ribosomal RNA is filed under the name uncultured bacterium. Its description in RNAcentral is "partial 16S ribosomal RNA". It matches the Rfam family "Bacterial small subunit ribosomal RNA", at positions 943 to 1168 of the family's 1533-position model. The record is from RNAcentral.